UCCCUUGACGGCUUCCUAUAAUGCAAGUCGAGCGGAAGAUGGGGAGCUUGCUCCCUGAUGUUAGCGGCGGACGGCGAGUAACACGUGGGUAACCUGCCUGUAAGACUGGGAUAUCUUCGGGAAACCGGGGCUAAUACCGGAUGCUUGUUUGAACCGCAUGGUUCAAACAUAAAAGGUGGCUUCGGCUUCUUCCCCACAGAUGGGACCCGCGGCGCAUUAGCUAGUUGGUGAGGUAAUGGCUCACCAAGGCGACGAUGCGUAGCCGACCUGAGAGGGUGAUCGGCCACACUGGGACUGAGACACGGCCCAACUCCUACGGGAGGCAGCAGUAGGGAAUCUUCCGCAAUGGACGAAAGUCUGACGGAGCAACGCCGCGUGAGUGAUGAAGGUUUUCGGAUCGUAAAGCUCUGUUGUUAGGGGAAGAACAAGUCCCGUUUCUAUUAGGGGGGUCCCUUGACGGUACCUAACCAGAAAGCCACGGCUAAACUACGUGCCAUCAGCCGCGGGUAAUACGUAGGGUGGCAAAGCGUGUUCCGGAAUUAUUGGGGCGUAAGGGGGCUCCCAGGCGGUUUCUUAAUUUCUGAUUGGGAAACCCCCCCGGGCUUCAACCGGGGGAAGGGGUCUUUGGAAAACUGGGGGGAACUUUGAGUUGCAAAAAUGAAGAAGUGGAAAUUCCCCACGUGUAUCGGU
RNAcentral lists this ribosomal RNA (690 nucleotides) under Bacillus sp. MR3. Its description in RNAcentral is "bacterial SSU rRNA". It matches the Rfam family "Bacterial small subunit ribosomal RNA", at positions 32 to 682 of the family's 1533-position model. The record is from RNAcentral. Lineage: Bacteria; Bacillati; Bacillota; Bacilli; Caryophanales; Bacillaceae.